UUAACAGGAUUAGAUACCCUGGUAGUCCACGCCGUAAACGAUGUCGACUUGGAGGUUGUGCCCUUGAGGCGUGGCUUCCGGAGCUAACGCGUUAAGUCGACCGCCUGGGGAGUACGGCCGCAAGGUUAAAACUCAAAUGAAUUGACGGGGGCCCGCACAAGCGGUGGAGCAUGUGGUUUAAUUCGAUGCAACGCGAAGAACCUUACCUGGUCUUGACAUCCACAGAACUUUCCAGAGAUGGAUUGGUGCCUUCGGGAACUGUGAGACGGGUGCUGCAUGGCUGUCGUCAGCUCGUGUUGUGAAAUGUUGGGUUAAGUCCCGCAACGAGCGCAACCCUUAUCCUUUGUCGCCAGCGGUCCGGCCGGGAACUCAAAGGAGACUGCCAGUGAUAAACUGGAGGAAGGUGGGGAUGACGUA
Molecule: ribosomal RNA, 417 nt
Filed under: uncultured bacterium
Lineage: Bacteria
Description: bacterial SSU rRNA
Rfam family: Bacterial small subunit ribosomal RNA
Source: RNAcentral